This 484-nucleotide ribosomal RNA is filed under the name uncultured bacterium. RNAcentral's name for it is "partial 16S ribosomal RNA". It matches the Rfam family "Bacterial small subunit ribosomal RNA", at positions 30 to 507 of the family's 1533-position model. The record is from RNAcentral.
AUUGAACGCUGGCGGCAGGCCUAACACAUGCAAGUCGAGCGGAUGAAGGGAGCUUGCUCCUGGAUUCAGCGGCGGACGGGUGAGUAAUGCCUAGGAAUCUGCCUGGUAGUGGGGGAUAACGUCCGGAAACGGGCGCUAAUACCGCAUACGUCCUGCGGGAGAAAGUGGGGGAUCUUCGGACCUCACGCUAUCAGAUGAUCCUAGGUCGGAUUAGCUAGUUGGUGGGGUAAAGGCCUACCAAGGCGACGAUCCGUAACUGGUCUGAGAGGAUGAUCAGUCACACUGGAACUGAGACACGGUCAAGACUCCUACGGGAGGCAGCAGUGGGGAAUAUUGGACAAUGGGCGAAAGCCUGAUCCAGCCAUGCCGCGUGUGUGAAGAAGGUCUUCGGAUUGUAAAGAACUUUAAGUUGGGAGGAAGGGCAGUAAGUUAAUACCUUGCUGUUGUGACGUUACCAACAGAAUAAGCACCGGCUAACUUCGUG